Lactuca sativa (garden lettuce) is the source of this 877-nucleotide long non-coding RNA. RefSeq lists it as uncharacterized. The record is from RefSeq and is a predicted model, not a curated record. Lineage: Eukaryota; Viridiplantae; Streptophyta; Magnoliopsida; Asterales; Asteraceae.
ACAUCAUCCUUGUUACUCAAACACCGUUACACGACUUCUCUCUUCUUUUCUUCGUCAUCUACCUUCUUUCUCUCUCAAUUGUAACCUAAUCAUUCUUUUUUUACUUCAAUCGUGCCAGAAAACUUAUCCCUAAUGGAUGUCCAGACUCCAAAAUCAAGUACGAAGACGUCAUCUGAAGGUUCUCGGAAAAACUCUCCUCGAUUAAUUUCUUCAGACACAAGCCAAAGGAACUCGAGUCGAAUCGCACGCCAACUAAAGACCACUAUAUUGGAAUCUAGCUCGUCCUCUCUCAAUCAAUCAACCAUUAGCACACCAAAAAGUACAAGUCCUGUAAUCGCUACUCACAAGUCGCCCAUAAGCCUCAUUUCUGAGGUAAAUUGAACUACGAAUCGUGUAAAACUAUAUUAAUGUAUUCGGGAAUUGAUAAAUUCACGGAAGAGAGUUCAAUAUUGUUCGUUUUAAUCUACUGAAGAAAUGUCCAGUGAGAGUUGCAGAGCUUGAAACGCAAAUUUCUCAGCUUCAAGAUGAUUUGAAGACUGUUAAGGAUCAAUUAGUUUCAUCAUAAUCAUGGAAAGAUCAAGCGAAACAAAGAUAAAGAGCCUCUUCAUGCUGUUUUUGAAUCAAUAAUUCGGAGGAUUCUUGCCUGUUUACAAUUUUAUGAUUCUUUCCUGUUUACAAUUUUAUAUGAUUCUUCUGUACUAUUAAUCUCUUCUCCAAGUAAAUUGGUUCAAAGGAUGUUUGGAUGCCUUUGGAUGCGAAUUUCAGAAGUGAUUAUGUGAUAUUCAAGAUGGAAUGAUUGUGUUUGAUGACUUGGGGUUCAGACAAAUUCUGUAACUGUAACUGUAACUGUAACUGGUUCUUUUGUUUUUCUGUGCAA